RNAcentral lists this ribosomal RNA (465 nucleotides) under uncultured bacterium. RNAcentral describes it as "bacterial SSU rRNA". It matches the Rfam family "Bacterial small subunit ribosomal RNA", at positions 339 to 797 of the family's 1533-position model. The record is from RNAcentral.
GUACGGAAGGCAGCAGUGGGGAAUAUUGGACAAUGGGCGAAAGCCUGAUCCAGCAAUACCGCGUGUGUGAAGAAGGCCUGAGGGUUGUAAAGCACUUUCAAUUGGGAGGAAAACCUGCCGGCCAAUACCCGGUAGCUUGACAUUACCUUUAGAAGAAGCACCGGCUAACUCCGUGCCAGCAGCCGCGGUAAUACGGAGGGUGCAAGCGUUAAUCGGAAUUACUGGGCGUAAAGCGUGCGUAGGUGGUUUGCUAAGUCAGAUGUGAAAGCCCCGGGCUUAACCUGGGAACUGCAUUUGAAACUGGUAGACUAGAGUUGAGUAGAGGGGAGUGGAAUUUCAGGUGUAGCGGUGAAAUGCGUAGAUAUCUGAAGGAACACCAGUGGCGAAGGCGACUCCCUGGACUCAAACUGACGCUGAGGUACGAAAGCGUGGGUAGCAAACAGGAUUAGAUACCCGUGUAGUCAU